Molecule: non-coding RNA, 125 nt
Organism: Pelobates cultripes (western spadefoot toad)
Lineage: Eukaryota; Metazoa; Chordata; Amphibia; Anura; Pelobatidae
Source: the annotation of a GenBank genome assembly
AUAACAAUACAGGACUCUUUCUAGGCCCUGUAAUUGGAAUGAGUCCACUUUAAAUCCUUUAACGAGGAUCUAUUGGAGGGCAAGUCUGGUGCAGAGCGACUGACCUGUGCGUGCUGCAGCUGAAA